ACCCUCCGCGCUGCUUCAGGUGCCCCCUGGCGAAACGCCAGAGGGGUGAAACAGGGAAGCCGGUUCAUUCGAUGAAGAUUCCGGCGCUGCCCCCGCAACGGUAGGCGAGACAGGACACCGCUCACAGCCACUGUGCCACAGGCAUGGGAAGGCUGCGGUUCCAGGAUGCAAGGCAUCCGCUCGCAAGCCCGGAGACCGGCCUGUCGCAUUCCACGGCAG
Molecule: non-coding RNA, 219 nt
Filed under: Pseudomonas sp. 9Ag
Lineage: Bacteria; Pseudomonadati; Pseudomonadota; Gammaproteobacteria; Pseudomonadales; Pseudomonadaceae
Source: RNAcentral